UAAGACGAAGGGGGCUAGCGUUGUUCGGAAUUACUGGGCGUAAAGCGAGUGUAGGUGGUUGUCCAAGUUGGAUGUGAAAGCCUUGAGCUCAACUCAAGAAAUGCAUUCAGGACUGGGCGGCUAGAGGACCGGAGAGGAUAGUGGAAUUCCCAGUGUAGUGGUGAAAUACGUAGAGAUUGGGAAGAACACCAGUGGCGAAGGCGGCUAUCUGGACGGUUUCUGACACUAAGACUCGAAAGCGUGGGGAGCAAACAGGAUUAGAUACCCUGGUAGUCCACGCCGUAAACGAUGGGUGCUAGGUGUGGGCGGUGUCGACUCCGUCCGUGCCGAAGCUAACGCAUUAAGCACCCCGCCUGGGGAGUACGGCCGCAAGGCUA
Molecule: ribosomal RNA, 377 nt
Filed under: uncultured bacterium
Lineage: Bacteria
Description: bacterial SSU rRNA
Rfam family: Bacterial small subunit ribosomal RNA
Source: RNAcentral